CCUACGGGUGGCAGCAGUGAGGAAUAUUGGUCAAUGGGCGGAAGCCUGAACCAGCCAAGUAGCGUGCAGGAUGACGGCCCUACGGGUUGUAAACUGCUUUUAUACGGGAAUAACGCGCCUUACGUGUACGGCUUUGCGUGUACCUUAUGAAUAAGGAUCGGCUAAUUCCGUGCCAGCAGCCGCGGUAAUACGGAAGGUCCGGGCGUUAUCCGGAUUUAUUGGGUUUAAAGGGAGCGUAGGCCGGAUGUUAAGUGAGCUGUGAAAUGUCCGGGCUCAACCCGGGCCUUGCAGCGCGAACUGGCAUGCUUGAGUCCGCGGAAAGCAGGCGGAAUGCGUCGUGUAGCGGUGAAAUGCUUAGAUAUGACGAAGAACCCCGAUUGCGAAGGCAGCUUGCUGGAGCGAAACUGACGCUGAUGCUCGAAAGCGCGGGUAUCGAACAGGAUUAGAUACCCCAGUAGUC
Molecule: ribosomal RNA, 460 nt
Filed under: uncultured bacterium
Lineage: Bacteria
Description: partial 16S ribosomal RNA
Rfam family: Bacterial small subunit ribosomal RNA
Source: RNAcentral